CCCUUAGACGUUCUGGGCCGCACGCGCGCUACACUGACCAGUGCAACAAGCAUCCGUCCUUGGCCGACAGGCCCGGGCAAUCUUUGAACGCUGUUCGUGAUUGGGAUAGACCUUUGCAAUUAUGGGUCUUCAACGAGGAAUUCCUAGUAAACGCAAGUCAUCAGCUUGCAUUGAUUACGUCCCUGCCCUUUGUACACACCGCCCGUCGCACCUACCGAUUGAAUGGUCCGGUGAAAUCUCGGGACGGCGGCUUGGUCGCUUGCGUCCGACUGCUGAAACUUGAUUAAACCAUAUCAUUUAGAGGAAGGUGAAGUCGUAACA
RNAcentral lists this ribosomal RNA (321 nucleotides) under uncultured eukaryote. RNAcentral's name for it is "partial 18S ribosomal RNA". It matches the Rfam family "Eukaryotic small subunit ribosomal RNA", at positions 1470 to 1796 of the family's 1831-position model. The record is from RNAcentral.